This 253-nucleotide ribosomal RNA is filed under the name uncultured bacterium. Its description in RNAcentral is "partial 16S ribosomal RNA". It matches the Rfam family "Bacterial small subunit ribosomal RNA", at positions 524 to 776 of the family's 1533-position model. The record is from RNAcentral.
UACAGAGGGGGCAAGCGUUGUUCGGAAUUACUGGGCGUAAAGGGCGCGUAGGCGGCCUGCUAAGUCGAACGUGAAAUCCCUGGGCUCAACCCAGGAACUGCGUCCGAUACUGGUUGGCUUGAAUCCGGGAGAGGGAUGUGGAAUUCCAGGUGUAGCGGUGAAAUGCGUAGAUAUCUGGAGGAACACCGGUGGCGAAGGCGGCUUUCUGGUCUGUAACUGACGCUGAGGCGCGAAAGCGUGGGGAGCAAACAGG